AACUAACGCUGGCGGCGCGCCUAAUACAUGCAAGUCGAACGAUGUAGCAAUACAUAGUGGCGCACGGGAGAGUAACACGUGGAUAAUCUCCCCUCGAGAGAAGAAUAACUAGUCGAAAGAUUGGCUAAUACUUCGUAAGACCACAGAAACAAAUGUUUCAGGGGUAAAAGUCGUAAGACGCUUGAGGAUGAGUCUGCGUCCCAUUAGCUAGUUGGUGAGGUAAUGGCUCACCAAGGCUUCGAUGGGUAGCUGGUCUGAGAGGAUGAUCAGCCUCACUGGAACUGACACACGGUCCAGACUCCUACGGGAGGCAGCAGUAGGGAAUAUUGCACAAUGGAGGAAACUCUGAUGCAGCGACGCCGCGUGAGUGAUGAAGGACUUCGGUUUGUAAAGCUCUGUUGUCAGGGAAUAAAAAAAUGAAUGUACCUGACGAGAAAGGACCGGCUAACUUACGUGCCAGCAGCCGCGGUAAU
This 473-nucleotide ribosomal RNA is filed under the name uncultured bacterium. Its description in RNAcentral is "bacterial SSU rRNA". It matches the Rfam family "Bacterial small subunit ribosomal RNA", at positions 29 to 524 of the family's 1533-position model. The record is from RNAcentral.